GCACGUCUAAGUACUCGCCUUGUCUAUAAAGUGAAACCGCGAAUGGCUCAUUAAAUCAGUUAUGGUUCACUAGACAGUACCUCAUCCUACUCGGAUAACUGUGGUAAUUCUAGAGCUAAUACAUGCAACUAGGCCCCGCCCGGCGUGCCGCCUCGUGUGUCACGUCGGAAAGGGCGCCAUUAUCAGCCCAAAACCGACCGGGUCGCUUCCCCCUUUCAACGGGGGGAAGCUCCCGUCCUUAUUCCCUUUGACGACUCUGGAUAACCUGUCAGCGGAUCGCUGGGUAACUAGGUCACCGGGGGUUCACUCUCCCGGCCGAUCUACAGCGACCAGUCUUUCAAAUGUCUGCCUUAUCAACUGUCGACGGUAGGUCAGAUGCCUACCGUGGUCGUAACGGGUGACGGGGAAUCAGGGUUCGAUUCCGGAGAGGGAGCCUGAGAAACGGCUACCACAUCCAAGGAAGGCAGCAGGCACGCAAAUUACCCAAUCCCAGCACUGGGAGGUAGUGACGAAAAAUAACGAUACGGGACUCUUAACGAGGCCUCGUAAUCGGAAUGAGUCCGCUCUAAAUCCUUUAACGAGGAUCUAUCGGAGGGCAAGUCUGGUGCCAGCAGCCGCGGUAAUUCCAGCUCCGAUAGCGUAUAUUAAAGUUGCUGCGGUUAAAAAGCUCGUAGUUGGAUUUGGGUUUUCGGGCCGGCGGGCCGCCGCCUUCGAGCGGCGCGUUUCCCGCCGCGCCCCCGGAACCGCACGGUCGCAGAGGCCCCCGCGGUGCUCUUGAGUGAGUGUCCGCGGUCUCGGGUCGCCGAACGUUUACUUUGAAAAAAUUAGAGUGCUCCAGGCAGGCCGGUAAAGCGUUUUUAAACCCGCGCCUGAAUAGUCACGCAUGGAAUAAUGAAAGAGGACCGGUGGUCCUAUUUUGUUGGUUUUAAGGAUUUUCCGCCGUCAUGAUUAAGAGGGACGGCCGGGGGCAUUCGUACCGCGGCGCGAGAGGUGAAAUUCUAGGACCGUCGCGAGACGAACCGUUGCGAAAGCAUUUGCCAAGAAUGUUUUCCUUAAUCAAGAACGAAAGUCAGAGGUUCGAAGGCGAUCAGAUACCGCCCUAGUUCUGACCGUAAACGAUGCCACCUGACGAUCCGCCAGGGUUACUACCAUGACUCGGCGGGCAGUCCCCGGGAAACCCAAGCCUUCGGGUUCCGGGGGAAGUAUGGUUGCAAAGCUGAAACUUAAAGGAAUUGACGGAAGGGCACCACCAGGAGUGGAGCCUGCGGCUUAAUUUGACUCAACACGGGGAACCUCACCCGGCCCGGACACCGCGAGGAUUGACAGAUUGAGAGCUC
RNAcentral lists this ribosomal RNA (1337 nucleotides) under Peripatopsis moseleyi. Its description in RNAcentral is "SSU rRNA". It matches the Rfam family "Eukaryotic small subunit ribosomal RNA", at positions 53 to 1257 of the family's 1831-position model. The record is from RNAcentral. Lineage: Eukaryota; Metazoa; Onychophora; Udeonychophora; Euonychophora; Peripatopsidae.